This is a long non-coding RNA of Pipra filicauda (Wire-tailed manakin), 280 nucleotides long. RefSeq lists it as uncharacterized. Lineage: Eukaryota; Metazoa; Chordata; Aves; Passeriformes; Pipridae. The transcript has 3 exons. The record is from RefSeq and is a predicted model, not a curated record.
AUCUAAACGCUGUCUCUUUUAUUAUUGUUUUGUUUUACAGAUUUAGAAAAAGGCACAGUGCUAGAGUGAUUUAUCUGAAACAGUGGACGAGGGCUGGAGAAGAAAUACACUUACGCCAAUUAUUUUAAAAAUGACUGAUUAAUAAUCUAAUGAGAUUGAGGGCUUCACACUAGAGCUGGUCUUGAAACAAGAUGCAGAAAGCUGUGAUGUUCCACCCACUGCAUUGCAGUUGUGAUUGAGAAAUAGCCUGCAAAAUACAUGGGACUCCCAGAAGAUCUGA